GAUGAAGAACGCAGCGAAAUGCGAUAAGUAGUGUGAAUUGCAGAAUUCAGUGAAUCAUCGAAUCUUUGAACGCACAUUGCGCCCCCUGGUAUUCCGGGGGGCAUGCCUGUUCGAGCGUCAUUUCACCACUCAAGCCUCGCUUGGUAUUGGGCAACGCGGUCCGCCGCGUGCCUCAAAUCGACCGGCUGGGUCUUCUGUCCCCUAAGCGUUGUGGAAACUAUUCGCUAAAGGGUGUUCGGGAGGCUACGCCGUAAAACAACCCCAUGUCUAAGGUUGACCUCGGAUCAGGUAGGGAUACCCGCUGAACUUAAGCAUAUCAAUAAGCGGAGGA
This 331-nucleotide unclassified non-coding RNA is filed under the name soil metagenome. RNAcentral describes it as "partial contains 5.8S ribosomal RNA, internal transcribed spacer 2, and large subunit ribosomal RNA". The stretch from base 1 to 120 matches the Rfam family "5.8S ribosomal RNA", at positions 35 to 154 of the family's 154-position model. The record is from RNAcentral.